UCCUAGCAUAUGUGCUGCUUCUUUUAGUUUUCGUAUUUUCCAGUGGUGUUCUCUGCCUAUUAUUAUAACUUCAUCUCACAAGGGUAGGUGGUCUCCAUUUUUCCAUACAUGAUCAGCUAUACCCGAUUUAUCAAUACCUUCUCAUGUCACAGCUUUGCGAUGUUCAUCUAUCCUUAUUUUGAGGGGGCAGCAUGUUUCGCCUUUGCAUAACCUACCACAGUUGCAUGGGAUGGAAUACACGCAGUCUGUGGUCAAAUUCUCUUCUAUUGGUGGUUUUACUCGAAGACACUGUCCUGACGUCAUAU
Long non-coding RNA from Octopus sinensis (East Asian common octopus), 305 nucleotides. RefSeq lists it as uncharacterized. The transcript has 3 exons. The record is from RefSeq and is a predicted model, not a curated record. Lineage: Eukaryota; Metazoa; Mollusca; Cephalopoda; Octopoda; Octopodidae.